RNAcentral lists this ribosomal RNA (543 nucleotides) under Nomerobius psychodoides. RNAcentral's name for it is "partial 16S ribosomal RNA". The stretch from base 398 to 543 matches the Rfam family "Bacterial large subunit ribosomal RNA", at positions 2473 to 2618 of the family's 2925-position model. Lineage: Eukaryota; Metazoa; Arthropoda; Insecta; Neuroptera; Hemerobiidae. The record is from RNAcentral.
AAAAACAUGUCUUUUUGAAUUUAAUUUAAAGUCUAACCUGCCCKCUGAUUUUAUAUUUAAGGGCCGCAGUAUUUUGACUGUGCAAAGGUAGCAUAAUCAUUUGUCUUUUAAUUGAAGGCUAGAAUGAAUGGUUGAAUGAAGUAUUAACUGUCUCAUUAUAAUAAAUUAAGAAUUUAGCUUUUAAAUUAAAAGGUUUAAAUUAAAUUAAAAGACGAGAAGACCCUAUAGAUUUUUAUAUUAAUUUAAAUAAUUUAAUUAAAGUAAUAAAAUUUAAAUUAAUUUAGUUAAUAUUUGAUUGGGGUGAUUAGAAAAUUUAAUAAACUUUUUUUAUUUAUAUAACAUAGAUUUAUGAAUAUUUGAUCCAAUAUUAUUGAUUAAAAGAUUAAAUUACCUUAGGGAUAACAGCGUAAUUUUUUUAAAGAGUUCAUAUCGAUAAAAAAGAUUGCGACCUCGAUGUUGAAUUAAAGAUAAUAUUUAAAUGCAGCAGUUUAAAUGUUAGGUCUGUUCGACCUUUAAAUCUUUACAUGAUCUGAGUUAAAACCG